Molecule: ribosomal RNA, 478 nt
Filed under: uncultured bacterium
Lineage: Bacteria
Description: partial 16S ribosomal RNA
Rfam family: Bacterial small subunit ribosomal RNA
Source: RNAcentral
GAUGAACGCUAGCGGCAGGCCUAACACAUGCAAGUCGAGGGAGAAGCCCUUUCGGGGGCAGAAACCGGCGCACGGGUGCGUAACGCGUAUGCAACCUACCUUUCACAGGGGGAUAGCCCGAAGAAAUUUGGAUUAAUACCCCAUAAUAUUAUUUGAUGGCAUCAUUUGAUAAUUAAAACUGCGGUGGUGAAAGAUGGGCAUGCGUCCUAUUAGCUAGUUGGAGUGGUAACGGCACCCCAAGGCUACGAUAGGUAGGGGUCCUGAGAGGGAGAUCCCCCACACUGGUACUGAGACAGGGACCAGACUCCUACGGGAGGCAGCAGUGAGGAAUAUUGAUCAAUGGUCGGAAGACUGAACCAGCCAUGCCGCGUGCAGGAAGAAUGCCUUAUGGGUUGUAAACUGCUUUUAUAUGGGAAGAAUAAGGCGUACGUGUACGUUGAUGACGGUACCAUAUGAAUAAGCAUCGGCUAACUCCGUG